CGGUCGGCAGGCGAUCCGCGUCGUUCAUAUUGGGUGGUAUGGUUCCCCAGAGGCCGGUUCUUGUGCUGCCUACCCCUUCAGGGGAAGCGCGCCACUUGAUGUAAGCCUCCAUCCGGCGCCCUCCAACGGGCGCAGGAGGACAACGGAGCACCCCCCGCGUUCCACCGGGCCUUAGCCGGUCGCGUGGCGCGCGGGGACGUGCGAUGCUCUCGGACCCAGCGAACGCCGUGGGCGAGGACUCACGUCCCAGUCCCGAUAGAAGCUCCGAUAUAAUGCAUGACGUCCGUUCCCGACCCCCGACCGCCCCGGCGGUGAGGGGGCGAGGCGCGGCGUCGCGGAGGGAUGCUACC
This 350-nucleotide unclassified non-coding RNA is filed under the name Acacia sp. CJ42. Its description in RNAcentral is "partial external transcribed spacer". The record is from RNAcentral. Lineage: Eukaryota; Viridiplantae; Streptophyta; Magnoliopsida; Fabales; Fabaceae.